RNAcentral lists this long non-coding RNA (896 nucleotides) under Olea europaea subsp. europaea. Lineage: Eukaryota; Viridiplantae; Streptophyta; Magnoliopsida; Lamiales; Oleaceae. The record is from RNAcentral.
AAAAUUAUAAGAUAUUAUUAUCUAUAAAAUUUAGGAAACUCAAUUCCACCAUAAACUCUACACAAAUUCUCUCGCUACACAAAUACCCAAUCCACCAUACCCACCUCAAAUCCAGUAGAUCUCUUUGCAUACAACUUCUCAAAAUUUUCCAUUCCCUCAUCCCUAAUUUCAAUCAUACACAUCUAUUGAUCUGAUGAUCUCUCAUAUCCUUUUUAAAACAUAUCAAUUGCCUUUUCGCAUCGGAUCCAUGAGCUCCAAUCGUAGUCGAGGAAGAAGAUUUGUGUGUAUUGUUUGCAGGAGAAUCACGGCCAGAGAAGGAGAUUGACUAUGACGAAUUCUCCGGCGAGAAUUGGAACUUUUGAUGGAUAUAUAAAAGAGCUCUUGUUGCUUUGAUUCUCAUCUUUGUCAUCGUGAUGAUUUUUUGUCAAAUCCAAUAAUUUGAUUCUGUAGUUAAUGUAUUAGGUUUAUGGUUUUUGAUUGUUAGAAAAAAAAAAGGUUAAAACCCCAACCUUAACUUCAAUCUUGAGGGUCCCCACAGCACCGUCCGUAGAGCUUUGUGAGGGAAGUAAAUUGCGGGAUGUGCCCCAACAGGCCAGGAAACAAGAGCUGCAUGUACACUGCGCUUACAAGGAGUUCAAUUCCAUAUCUCAGGAAUCGAACCCCCACACUACGGCUGUCAGUAAGGCGUGAGAUAAUCUCACUCCUAUCCUUUGCACAACUAGGAUAUGCCCCAAGGGGUUUAUGGUUUUUGAUUGUUUGAAUUAUAACUGGUGUAUUGCUAUUUACAUCCAUGUUUUUUUAAAAACUAGUUUUCCGUCCGUUCAAUACACGAGUUAUGUCAUUUUUUAGAUAAUAUUAAGUUAUUAACAUGUCAAAAUAUCUAUUCAAUUCUCUCA